UCCGGCUAUGUUACGUUGAUUCUCAUUAUGUUAUUCAGAUCUUGAGAACUGCGGAAGCGAACGAUUUUCUUACCUGCAAACUGCUAAUUGCUAACUGCUAACUUCUAGCUAUUUCUAUCAAGAAUUUCCUUUUAUUUCAUUAGCAACUAUAAUAAGUGUAUUAAUCAGCUCACAUUAUCCUUUGUAAUUCGGAAACCAAGGAAUAAAAACCGGAGAUUUCAUCUUUUAUUUCAAAAAUGUUUCUGAGGUGGAUUUAUUGAACUGUGUUGCUGGGUUGCAGUGGACAUCGCGAAUGGGAUUAGCUGCUUGGAACAAUGUUAGAUAAUUAUUAGCGUAAGCCAUAGCAUAUCUCAAGAUUUUAAACCUCUACAUUAGUAAAAAACCUGCUUGACAUUGGACAACGAGCCUUUGGAGAGGUUUGUGGAAAAUGGAACAUGAAAGUUCAACGAGGGACUGAUCAUUCGCUGUGCCCGUGGCUGAUCUAAUUCUCCAAGACGAGUCUGGGCAACCUGUGGAUCCAAACACCACUGAGGAGGAGGCGGAGGAGGAACAAUCUCUGGCAGAAAAGACAGGGCUGUUUGCAGCAUAUCGUAAAAGACAGAGGAGAAGAGUGUAGCACUCCAGCUGCUUUGACAUUAGCAAAGGACAUUUGCAAAAGAAUGUCUUGUCCUUUGCAAAUGUAAAGCAGCAGCUCAGCUCAGCUACGAACAGAAACACUCUUCCUUCACUGUUCCGAGAUGCGAACCGACAGAAGUAAUGGGCACUGAAAGAUUCCAUGAAUCCAAGGAGUGUGUGCAUCCCUAAGUUAUCCCCUGUAACCUGGGCAAUUGUGCCAAACAAUUCAUUAAAGAAAAAAAAAUAUCCAUAAUUUUUUAUAUCUUGUGUAUGUAAUAAUAAAUAAUAAACAGUAAAUGAAUAUUAAUUAAACUUGCAUUCAUCUUUGGUGGAAAAUUCCUGAGAAUGAAGUAAAUGGCUCCGAUUUUGUGGAUGCCUUGCUUAGACCCCAGGGGAUUAGCAGAUUCAAAUUCAUCAUAAAAUAACUGUAUCUGAAGUGCAUUUUGUUUUUUACUGAAU
Molecule: long non-coding RNA, 1074 nt
Organism: Esox lucius (northern pike)
Lineage: Eukaryota; Metazoa; Chordata; Actinopteri; Esociformes; Esocidae
Source: Ensembl